RNAcentral lists this long non-coding RNA (524 nucleotides) under Homo sapiens (human). RNAcentral describes it as "HSALNT0128067". The record is from RNAcentral. Lineage: Eukaryota; Metazoa; Chordata; Mammalia; Primates; Hominidae.
GAACCCACCAAUUCCGGACACACCGGCACAGUGUUGACAGACAGGAAGAUAAGCUUUGCUUCCCCUUCGCUUCCCACCAUGAUCAUAAGUUUCCUGAGGCCUCCCAGUGAUGCUUCCUGUGAAGUCUGGAGAACUGUGAGUCAGUUAAACCUCUUUUCUUCAUAAAUAACCCAGUCUCAGGUAGUUCUUUAUCGCCGUGUGAAAACAGACUAAUACAGAGACUGAAAUUCACAAAAGUAGUGUUGACUGAAAGAAGCCAGACACAAGUGUAUAUCAUGUAUGGUUGUCUAUAUAUAAACUUCAAAAACAAGCAAAAAUAAUUUACAGCAUUACAGGUCAAAAUAGUAGUUACUGUUGGAGUGGUGAGUCAAUAGAGGGGGCAUGAUGAAUUGCUAGUUGGAUUCUGUUUGUUAAUCUUCAUGUGAGUUAAAUGGUUUUCAUUUUGUAAAAGAAAUAUAAAUUUUCAUGAAUAUUAUGUUUGCACAUGCACAUGUGCAUAAAACACAUAACUUUAAUAAAGGAAU